AGUGAACGCUGGCGGUAGGCCUAACACAUGCAAGUCGAACGGCAGCACAGUUAGCUCUUGCUCUUACGGUUGGCGAGUGGCGGACGGGUGAGGAAUACAUCGGAAUCUACUUUUUCGUGGGUGAUAACGUAGGGAAACCUCUGCUACUACCGCAUACGUCCUACCGGUUAAAUCAGUGGUUCUUCGGCCCUUUCGUGUUUCAAUGCGCCGAUGUCGGAUUAGCUAGUUGGCGGGGUAAAGGCCCACCAAGGCGACGAUCCGUAGCUGGUCUGAGAGGAUGAUCAGCCACACUGGAACUGAGACACGGUCCAGACUCCUACGGGAGGCAGCAGUGGGGAAUAUUGGACAAUGGGCGCAAGCCUGAUCCAGCCAUACCGCGUGGGUGAAGAAGGCCUUCGGGUUGUAAAGCCCUUUUGUUGGGAAAGAAAAGCAGCAGGUUAAUACCCGCUGUUCUGACGGUACCCAAAGAAUAAGCACCGGCUAACUUCGUG
RNAcentral lists this ribosomal RNA (491 nucleotides) under uncultured bacterium. RNAcentral's name for it is "partial 16S ribosomal RNA". It matches the Rfam family "Bacterial small subunit ribosomal RNA", at positions 29 to 507 of the family's 1533-position model. The record is from RNAcentral.